Molecule: ribosomal RNA, 200 nt
Filed under: uncultured bacterium
Lineage: Bacteria
Description: partial 16S ribosomal RNA
Rfam family: Bacterial small subunit ribosomal RNA
Source: RNAcentral
AGCGGACGCUGGCGGCAGGCCUAACACAUGCAAGUCGAACGAACUCUUCGGAGUUAGUGGCGGACAGGUGAGUAACACGUGGGAACGUGCCUUUAGGUUCGGAAUAACUCAGGGAAACCUGUGCUAAUACCGAAUGUGCCCUUCGGGGGAAAGAUUUAUCGCCUUUAGAGCGGCCCGCGUCUGAUUAGCUAGUUGGUAAG